This 3008-nucleotide small RNA is filed under the name Arabidopsis thaliana (thale cress). RNAcentral describes it as "ATSL100770". The record is from RNAcentral. Lineage: Eukaryota; Viridiplantae; Streptophyta; Magnoliopsida; Brassicales; Brassicaceae.
AUGUCAUUAGAAAAAUUUAAUCAAAAACAAAAUCCUUUAAUGACGUCAUUAAGGUUACCAAAAUCAUUUAACGAAAAUAUUCAUCUCUUAAUUUUAGGGCUUAUUGGAUCUAAAGACGGAUCAUCAAUGAUAACCUAAACUGAAGCAAAAUAUACUGAAUAUUCAAAUAUCUAUUUGUUACCAAAUUAUAAACAAAGAAAAAUUCUUUCUAAUGCCUUUUUCACACUACCCUUUUUCAAUUCUACCCUUUUCUAUUUACCAUUUUCAUUUAUACCCUAUUUAAAUUUUUAAUGACCAUUUUACUUCUAUUUGUAAAUUGAUUUAGGUUAACAAAAAUGAAAUAUUAAUACUUUUUCGCCUAAUAUAUUCCAAAACAUAAUUUUCCGCUAAAAUUUUCCUGCCAAAAAUUUUCGGAAAAAAAAGUUCCCGUCAAAUUUUUUUUUCAAAAAUAUUUUUCCGCCAAAAUUUUCCCACCAAAAAAAUUCGAAAAAAAGUUUCCCGCCAAAAAAAAAAAUUCGAAAACAUUUUUCCCGUAAAAUUUUUUUUUUGACGGGAAAUAGAUUUACAAGGGAUUUUAAAAGGGUUUUAAAAGGGUUUUAAAAGAUUUACAAGAGAUUUUAAAAGGGUUUAAAAGAUUUACAAGGGAUUUUAAAAGAGUUUUAAAAGAUUUACAUGGGAUUUUAAAGGGCUUUAAAAGACUUACAAGAGUUUUUUAAAGAUUUUUAAAGGGUUUUAAAGUGUUUUAAAAGAUUUACAAGAGAUUUUUAAAGGGUUUUAAGAAAUGUACAAGAGUUUUUAACAGAUUUUAAAAGAAAUUAUAAAAAAACUCUUUAAAAACUCUUGUAAAUCUUUAUAAAACCUUUUGUAAAGGUUCACAAGAGUUUUAAAAUGGAUCAAAAAGAAUUGUAAAUGUUUUACAAAGGUUUAAAAUCCUUGUAAAUCCUUUUAAAACUCUUUAAAAACUCUUGUAAAUCAUGUUUUACCAUUUUAUAAGCUUUUAAAAUCCUUGUAAAUCAUUCUAUACCACUUACUUAUCCUUUAAAAACGAUUGUAAACCAUGCAAACCUUUUUUAAAAUCCCUUGUAAAUCAUUCUUUGACACUUACUUAUGUUUUAAAAACGAUUGUAAAUCAAGUAACCCCUUUUAAAAUCCCUUGUAAAUCAUUCAAUGCCACUUACUUAUGCUUUAAAACAAUUGUAAACCAUACAAACACUUUUAAAAUCCCUUGUAAAUCAUUCUAUGCCACUUACUUAUGCUUUAAAAACGAUUGUAAAUCAUGUUUUACCCUUUUAUAAGCUUUUAAAAUCCCUUGUAAAUCAUUCUAAUGUCACUUACUUAUGCUUAAAAAACAUUGUAAAUCAUGCUAACCCUUUUUAAAAAUCCUUGUAAAUCAUUCUAUGUCACUUACUUAUGCUUUAAAAACGAUUGUAAACCAUGUUUUACCCUUUUAUAAGCUUUUAAAAUCCCUUGUAAAUCAUUCAAUGCCACUUACUUAUGCUUAAAAAACGAUUGUAAAUCUUGUAAAACUAUUGUAAAAAGUUUUAAAAUGAUUUACAAAGGUUUAAAAAGGGGUUUUAAAGUAUUUACCUAUAUUUUUAAAGAUUUUAUAAAGAUUUUAAGAGAUUUUAAAAUGAUUUACAAGAGUUUUUAGCAACUAGCAAAGCUUUUAAAAAACUUUACAAGGUUUUUUAAAAGUGUUUUUAAAAAAUUUACAAGGAUUUUUAAAAGUGUUUUUAAAAAAUUUACAAGGAUUUUUAAAAGCAUUUUUUUGGCUGGGAAAAAAAUUUUACGAGAAAAAAUUUUGGCAGAAAUUUUUUUUUUUGACGGGAAUUUUUUUUGUUUUGGCGGGAAAAAAAGUUUGGCGGAAUUUUUUUUUUGGCGGGAAAAAUAAAUUUUUGGCGGGAAACUUUCAGUUUCCAAUUACAUGUUCUUAUUAGAUGAGGGUAAUUUGGUCAUUCUGUUCAAUAGAAGGGAUAUUUUUAAAAAUGAACAAUAUAAAAGGGUAUUGUUGCAAAAGGGUAGUUAAAAAAGGGUAGUUUUGCAAAUCUCCCAUAAACAAAUAAGUUCGUAAAACAAUUUAAUAUUUUAUAUACGAAAUCAAUUAAAUCUUAAUCACAUAAAAAUUAGCACAAAAAGAAAAGUAUUCAACAAUUAAAAAAUUAUCAAAUCUUUGUAUUAUAUAAGUUUUGAUAUUAUAUUCGAAUAAAGUGUAAUAGACCUUUUCAAUUUGUAUUCUUUAACUAAUGUAAGCUACCUAAUAUAUUUGCUAAUCUUAUACCUAUCAAAACCGACUAUCGUUUCUUAUCUUUAUAGUAUUCUUGCAAGACUUUUUUGGUGGAUUUGGAUAAAAGUGCAUUCGGGUUAUAUGGUACAUUCUCCUAUUAAAUAAAUAUGGUGCACUCCUAUGUUAUUAGCUAAAAUGUUCAUAUUAUAAUUCAGAGUCAUAUCAUAAAUAAAAUUAGUAUUAAUAAAAUAAAUGGCUUUUUGGCAAAACGGAUUUGGAGAGACGGGUUUUUGAAUCAACAUUAAUAAAAAAUAUAUAAAAUUAAUCCACCGUUUGAAUACGGGUUAAAUCUUUAAUUUAUUAUUUUUUAAGACCACUAAUAUUAAACAUAUCAAAUCAUCCUAAUUUAGAAAAGAUUAUAUAAAACCAAAGAUGUUAUGUGGUAUGUAUAAUGUUACUAUAUAUAAAAUUAAACUAUAAAAUAUAAAUGUGUUAGAGAAUGAUACAAUUUGCAAAACUUUUAUAUAUAAUAAAUAAUUCUUAAAUUUUAAAAAUUACUACUUUAAAAAAAAAAUACGGGACGGAUAAAGAAAUUAUAGAACGGGUUUUAUUUUGGAAUUGGGUUAUAUGGUGGAUGUAUUUGAAUCAAUAUUUAUAAAAUUUUAAAAUAUUAUUAAUAUGCUGUUUUAAUAGGGGUUAAACUUCAGUUUUUUAACAAUUGUCUCAUGAAUUCGUGGUAUAGCGUUACUUAAUAACAAUUAUAAACUGUAAAAUAUAAAUAUUA